RNAcentral lists this ribosomal RNA (383 nucleotides) under uncultured bacterium. RNAcentral's name for it is "bacterial SSU rRNA". It matches the Rfam family "Bacterial small subunit ribosomal RNA", at positions 30 to 416 of the family's 1533-position model. The record is from RNAcentral.
AUUGAACGCUGGCGGAAUGCUUUACACAUGCAAGUCGAACGGUAGAGGGGGCAACCCCUUGAGAGUGGCGAACGGGUGAGUAAUAUAUCGGAACGUGCCCAGUCGUGGGGGAUAACGUAGCGAAAGCUACGCUAAUACCGCAUACGAUCUAUGGAUGAAAGCGGGGGGAUCGCAAGACCUCGCGCGAUUGGAGCGGCCGAUAUCAGAUUAGGUAGUUGGUGAGGUAAAGGCUCACCAAGCCGACGAUCUGUAGCUGGUCUGAGAGGACGACCAGCCACACUGGGACUGAGACACGGCCCAGACUCCUACGGGAGGCAGCAGUGGGGAAUUUUGGACAAUGGGCGCAAGCCUGAUCCAGCAAUGCCGCGUGCAGGAUGAAGGCC